Molecule: ribosomal RNA, 338 nt
Filed under: uncultured Hyphomicrobiales bacterium
Lineage: Bacteria; Pseudomonadati; Pseudomonadota; Alphaproteobacteria; Hyphomicrobiales
Description: bacterial SSU rRNA
Rfam family: Bacterial small subunit ribosomal RNA
Source: RNAcentral
AAUGAACGCUGGCGGCAGGCCUAACACAUGCAAGUCGAACGGAGUUAUAUUGUAGCUUGCUAUGGUAUAACUUANUGGCAGACGGGUGAGUAAUGUAUAGGAAUCUACCUAGUAGUACGGAAUAAUUGUUGGAAACGGCAACUAAUACCGUAUACGCCCUACGGGGGAAAAAUUUAUUGCUAUUAGAUGAGCCUAUAUUAGAUUAGUUAGUUGGUGAGGUAAAGGCUUACCAAGACAAUGAUCUAUAGCUGAUCUGAGAGGAUGAUCAGCCACACUGGAACUGAGAUACGGUCCAGACUCCUACGGGAGGCAGCAGUGGGGAAUAUUGGACAAUGGGC